This is a long non-coding RNA of Xenopus laevis (African clawed frog), 678 nucleotides long. RefSeq lists it as uncharacterized. The record is from RefSeq and is a predicted model, not a curated record. Lineage: Eukaryota; Metazoa; Chordata; Amphibia; Anura; Pipidae. The transcript is spliced from 2 exons.
UGCUCACUCUGCAAUCCACUGAUCAUGUCUGCUGUCUGCAGCCUGCAGACUUGCCAGCAGAGAGCGGAUUAUUAGGAGAAAUACAACAGGAGACAGCGCGGCUGCAGAGAGGAGAAGCCCAGCGCUGUGGUUUCAUCCUUCCCCCCACAGCUCCUGCUAGCAGCCACUUUGUAGACAAGUGGGAAAUCUAGUGGUGGCUACUGAGAAUUGCAUCCCUUCCACAAGCUGGGAACAAAGGCACACUGUUUGUAACUACCCUGUCUCAUUCCCGCCAUUGACCAAGACGCAAGCACGGGAGAAAGCUGCCUAACUCGCCCAGGAAACUUCAACUCGCGGCUGGACACAAACAAACGCUUUUCCCCUUAGGACUUCCACAUGCUGCGGACAGGGGAGCAAGCUACAAAACUUACCCAGACACAUGGAACUCACAGCUGCACAUUUUUAGUCACUCUCCCCCCUUGUUUUUUUUCACAGGCUGGAAAGGGGUGAAUUUUGAUUUUGUAAGUUUAUUUUUUUUUAAACUAUUUCCAGAUUGACAUUAAGGGUUUGCUUUUUAUAGUUAAAUAUAUAUUGAAUGAUAUUGAUUUCUAAUAAAGAUUAUUUAAUAUUGAUAAUAUUUAAAGAUUGAUGUGUAUACCAUUGUAUAUAUAUUUCUAAUAAUAAAAAUGAGUAAAAUUA